This is a long non-coding RNA of Drosophila serrata, 386 nucleotides long. NCBI's taxonomy places the organism in Eukaryota, Metazoa, Arthropoda, Insecta, Diptera, Drosophilidae. The record is from RefSeq and is a predicted model, not a curated record.
GUUCAGUGUGUUCGUGUCAGAGCCUUAGCAAAGAUUCAUCAGCCACCUCGUACUCGUGCUCUCAAUCUAAAUCGGGAUCCACAUCGUUGGUCAGCUCAUUGAAAUCGCGUCGUUGAAGCAGUAUCCAAGAAGCUUUCGUCCAUUUUCGUUAAGAAGAAGAAUACAUCAUGGUCGUCAUUGUGGAGUUAGCGUCCUCGUCCAAUGAGUCAGUUGAUAUUGACCAUGAGAUGGAGCAGCAGAAGCAGCAGAGCAGGAGGAGCAGCAGAAGAAGGAGGAGAAGCACGGCAAGAACAUGGAUAAAGGCGAGGGCGAUGCGGUGAAGGAAAUAAGGAGGCAAAAAAUAUGGAGGAGACCAAAAAAGAGGAAGAAAAGGUCGAGAUGAAGGA